This 166-nucleotide ribosomal RNA is filed under the name Chaetothyriales sp. RNAcentral describes it as "partial large subunit ribosomal RNA". It matches the Rfam family "Eukaryotic large subunit ribosomal RNA", at positions 99 to 261 of the family's 3401-position model. The record is from RNAcentral. Lineage: Eukaryota; Fungi; Ascomycota; Eurotiomycetes; Chaetothyriales.
CGGCAACAGCUCAAAUUUGAAAUCUGGCCCUCUUUGGGGGUCCGAGUUGUAAUUUGCAGAGGGUGCUUUGGCAUCGGCGGCGGUCUAAGUUCCUUGGAACAGAAUGUCAGAGAGGGUGAGAAUCCCGUCUUGGACCGGCGUAGGGCCCGUGUAAAACUCCUUCGAC